AAAAGGUUACUAUGGUGUUGUGGGAAACCAAAACUAAAAUGAAUAAUAAACAUCUGGGGAUAUUUAGUCUGGAGACAAGAAGUGCCUUGGGGGAAGAAAGCAAUACAAAAUGACCAGAAGAUGAAUCCAAUACAAUAAUCAGCUUCUUGCUCCAUUCUCAAUGGGGUAGGUAUGAGAAAGAGAAGAGUUGGGCAUAGUGAUGGAGAGGAUUUGUUGUUGUCCCAUAAUACCAGGAAGAUCAAAGAAUAUUUUUCUUUUAGUAACAUGGACUGAGAUUGGACUUUUCCAUCUUCCCACAAGAGUAAGAACAUAUUCCAAAAUCAUAUUAGUUGGAGCCCUGAAUGGUUAUGGGAACUGGAUUGGAGGCAGGGAGGAUUGCUUAAGAGACAAGAGAUGGAAAGAAAACGCUUCCAGUCAGUUUUUGCUUUCAUGUUACUGUGAAGUUACUUACAAUGCAUCUGAUUAGUGUUCUUACGUAUCCAGCGGAAUAUUUG
This 494-nucleotide long non-coding RNA is filed under the name Monodelphis domestica (gray short-tailed opossum). Its description in RNAcentral is "lncRNA (ENSMODG00000046288.1)". The record is from RNAcentral. Lineage: Eukaryota; Metazoa; Chordata; Mammalia; Didelphimorphia; Didelphidae.